UUGAAGAAUUAUUUCCUAUGUUGUGAUUGAGAGGUUAUGUUGGCGGAGGGGGGCGAUGACAACUUCCUCAUUGGCUCAAGGGGGCGAUUCCUUCAAAAAGGUUAAGAACCACUGUUCUAAGUAAUCAUAAUUACAUAAUUACAUGAGAAACUGGAAACUAACCGUGUAAAUAGUGCCUGCAUUUAAACAGAAAUGGAAUUGCAAGAUCACAUAUGCUCUGAUUUAAAAUUAACUUCUAUCUUACACUAAAGUGAAGAGGCAAAUUUAAUAGUCCUGUAAUCAGGUUAGUUUUUGUGGGUUAGAAUUGGAAAAAUUGCACAACUUAACAUUUACUCACUUUUUCUCUAAUUAAAAGUGGGUGAGUUUUCAAAGGUUGGGGUAGUUAAGAUUAUGUAUAGGACUUUGGCUUAAUACAUGUCUAUACCUUUUCAUCAAGGAUACUGAAGAUGACCCUGAACGUUCUCAUCAAAUGAUCAUGCUGCGAAAACUCUGCUUGCCAAUGAUGUGCUUCCUCCUUCAUACAGUCUUGUACAGCACUGGCCAGUAUCAGGAAGAUUUAAGACUUGCCGACUUGAUUGCCUCAGAUAGGCACAAACUCUAUAUGGUAUUUUCCAAGGAGGAACUCCAGAAACUCUUACAGAAGUUGAGAGAAUCUUCCCUCAUGCUUCUGGAUCAAGGUCUUGAUCCUCUUGGAUAUGAAAUUCAAUUUUAAUUGCAUUGUUCUAAGUAAUAUAAAUAAAAUUAAUAAUACAAAUGAAUAUAAGAUUUCAAUCACAGAUUCUUGACCUCCAUGAAAUAAAGAACAUUUGGAUUCAACCUCCAUUAUGUGGAAAUAUUUGAAUAUUACAUUGGCAUUGGCACACAGCAGUUUGGAUUUUUUUAUAUGUAAAAUAAAGAAUUGCAUGGAUAACACUUUGUAUUUUUCUCAAUAAAAUUAUAAUAAUUUUGUAA
Molecule: long non-coding RNA, 951 nt
Organism: Crotalus tigris (Tiger rattlesnake)
Lineage: Eukaryota; Metazoa; Chordata; Lepidosauria; Squamata; Viperidae
Exons: 2
Source: RefSeq, a predicted model, not a curated record